Molecule: long non-coding RNA, 546 nt
Filed under: Gallus gallus (chicken)
Lineage: Eukaryota; Metazoa; Chordata; Aves; Galliformes; Phasianidae
Description: lncRNA (ENSGALG00010019455.1)
Source: RNAcentral
GGGAGAGCGGCGCGAGGAGCGGGCUGUGCCGCGAGGUGCGCGGCCCCGCACGCAGCCAGCUGCAGCCGCCGACCCCACAGCCGUCCCGGUUCCGGUGAGAGCCCGGCUCUCCCAGGCAGCAUCUGCAGUCCUGGGGACACCACUGCUGAGUCUGACCUUCAAAUCUCUCGAAGGAGGCACAUGGUGCAGAGGAGGGGAUGUGAGAGCUGCUCUGCCCCGGAUGGAUGGACUGUGUGAGGGUGCAUGAGGCAAGGUUUUGCAGCCUUUGUACUUUCUACAUCCCUUCUGGAAGCAAAGGUGCCAAAAUACUUCUUGAAAGGCUGUUCUUGCAGUGUUUCCCAGACCUUCCCGCACCAGGAAAUGCCGGAAAUCGUGGGAGCAGGGCUGCUCUCUGGAGAGCCUUGACACAAGUUUUGCAGACCCAGAAGAUCUGGAGAAGCCUGAGCUUCCCGAAGCAUGGACUUCUCUCCAAAGCCAACAGGAACUCGGAAACUUUGGGGCCUCUCGGUUUUGCUGCUCUGUAGACCCUGAACCUUUAAACUCGAC